This 365-nucleotide long non-coding RNA is filed under the name Neogale vison (American mink). RNAcentral's name for it is "Neovison vison (American mink) lncRNA (ENSNVIG00000006130.1)". Lineage: Eukaryota; Metazoa; Chordata; Mammalia; Carnivora; Mustelidae. The record is from RNAcentral.
AUAGAAGCCAUCGGUCCCUCCACUGGGAGCUGGUCUUCUGUGUUGCUUCACCCCACAGUAAAGGACGGGGUAUCUGAGAUUUUAAGGACAGUGUCCUACUUGGAGAGAAUGUGCAUGCUGGCAGGAGAGCAGGUCUGAAGGAGGCACCAGCCAGGAAGCUCGUGCAGCAUCCAGAGGAGACAUCACAAAGACCGUAUCCAAGUUCCUAAACAGUGGGGUUGGAGGAUGGGGCAAGCAGGAUCUGAGAUACAUUGUAGACGUAGAGAUAAUAACUUCUGGUAGUCUCCCAGGUAGAGAAGGUGAAAGAAGAAAUAAAAACAAUCCUGAGACAUUGAAAUUGGACACCGUGGUGAAUGGUGACCAUG